CAGGUGCUGCAUGGCUGUCGUCAGCUCGUGUUGUGAAAUGUUGGGUUAAGUCCCGCAACGAGCGCAACCCUUAUCCUUUGUUGCCAGCGGUCCGGCCGGGAACUCAAAGGAGACUGCCAGUGAUAAACUGGAGGAAGGUGGGGAUGACGUCAAGUCAUCAUGGCCCUUACGAGUAGGGCUACACACGUGCUACAAUGGCGCAUACAAAGAGAAGCGACCUCGCGAGAGCAAGCGGACCUCAUAAAGUGCGUCGUAGUCCGGAUUGGAGUCUGCAACUCGACUCCAUGAAGUCGGAAUCGCUAGUAAUCGUGGAUCAGAAUGCCACGGUGAAUACGUUCCCGGGCCUUGUACACACCGCCCGUCACACCAUGGGAGUGGGUUGCAAAAGAAGUAGGUAGCUUAACCUUCGGGAGGGCGCUUACCACUUUGUGAUUCAUGACUGGGGUGAAGUCGUAACAAGGUAACCGUAGGGGAACCUGCGGUUGGAUCACCUCCUUA
RNAcentral lists this ribosomal RNA (498 nucleotides) under Enterobacter hormaechei. RNAcentral describes it as "bacterial SSU rRNA". It matches the Rfam family "Bacterial small subunit ribosomal RNA", at positions 1035 to 1533 of the family's 1533-position model. Lineage: Bacteria; Pseudomonadati; Pseudomonadota; Gammaproteobacteria; Enterobacterales; Enterobacteriaceae. The record is from RNAcentral. RNAcentral also lists the same sequence under 1 other name.